Molecule: long non-coding RNA, 1720 nt
Filed under: Felis catus (domestic cat)
Lineage: Eukaryota; Metazoa; Chordata; Mammalia; Carnivora; Felidae
Description: lncRNA (ENSFCAG00000047917.1)
Source: RNAcentral
GCUUGAGCUAAAUCUUAAAGGACUAAAGUGAAAAUCAGUAAGGGAUGGACAGCCUGGUCAGGGGGACUGACGUGGGCAGAGGAGGGAGCAGGAAGCAGGUGGGCCAUGCUUGGGGCCUGGACCUGAGAAACAGGGUGAGGGGUAGGUAGUGGAGCAGGAAGCAAUCAAUGCCAGUGGCGUGGAGGGGGUGGGGUCGGCUGAUAGCAAGCCUCAAAUACUCUGGGUAAGGUGCUCAGAAUUUAUCCCACAGCAGUGUCAGUGUGUGUGUGUGUGUGUGUGUGUGUGUGUGUGUGUGAAGGUAGCUUUUGAAAUAUUCUCAUGUUAUUAGGGGAAGAGACCAAGGGCAACAAGAUCAGUUACAAGCCACAGCAAUAAUUUGGACAAACUAUAAGCUGACCUGACAUGGGUAAUGGAAAUAAAAAAGGGGAAACAAAUGCAUGAGCUCUUGAGAGUAUUUCCCAUACCUCUCCCCUUCUCUGUUCUUAGGCCAGAGAAAUUUCCCCAGUGAAAGCUUCCCCACCCUUUCCUGGUUCAGGGCCCGGUGCCUGUGUGCUUCCUGUUCCUUCUGCCUCAAGUGCUCUCCCUCCCAACACACCCCUACCCACCUGGAGAAUACCUAUUCAUUCUUUAAAACAUUUCAUAGAGGCAACUCCUCCAAAAUCUUUCCUCGCUGCAGGCGUGAUGGAGUGACUGAUCCCACCUUUGUACGGCCUCUGUACAUCGCACAUGCUUCUGCGGGGACAUCGGUGCCAGUUUGUUUCUGCAUCUGUGUCCUCUAGUAGACAGCGAACUCCUCAGCGGUUGUGACCAGUUUGGUGUUUAUGUUCCUGCGCCUGCGGUAAUGCCUGAUGCGCACUGAGCACGAUGUUGAAUGAACGCGAUGUUGAAUGAAUGGACGGAAGCACGUGGAAGAUUGCCGCUGUCCAAAGAUCCCCGGCUUCGAGACUUCACUGUGAUGCGGUCACUGUUAGGAGGCAGUUUUUCGGACACUUUCAGUAAUAAAUCUUUUUUGAUAUCAUCUAUAGUAGCUCUGCCUCAUAGCAAGUUCCAGGCUAAAGCAGGUAAGGGGACAACAAACUGCCGUGGAGGCAGACAGACCUGGCUUGAGUCCUCGUUUUGUCACUAUGGGUUUACCUCAAUCUCUCGGAGCCUCCAUUUCCUCAUCUGUAAAAUAGGGGAGAACGUAAGGGCAGAGCCUGGUUGCCUGCCAACUAUUUCACUCCUCUUCCUUGCUGACGGCAACGACGACGACAAAUCCUGAUUUUGUUUAGCUCCCGAUAUGCCCAAUCCCAGCAGAUGCGCUGCGACGACCUAAGGUGUCCAUUCCUGCUACCAAUGGUUGGUUGGUAGGGUCCGUAGGAGAGCAAGUGACCUAAUUCUGACUGAUGAGGCCAAACGGGACAUCUGGCAGAAGCUUCCCAGAAAAGAUUUUCCUCUCUGAUAAGUGACACAUGUGAAGAGAAAGCCCAUCUGCCUUUGGCCCUCUUGCUUCCUGAGCCAGAUGCUGUUGUGGAGACAUGAUGUUUGGGGUAAGAGCAGCCAUCUCUUCAAAACAAACGGGACCACCACUGACGCAUUAAUGAUGGCAGAGCUGAAGGACCCGAAGAGUGUAGGUCCUUGGAGCAACACUGAUCUAUUCAAUUCAACGAAACUUGGUCUACCUAUCUCCAGAUUUCUGGUCAACAAUAAAUGUCUUUUAUUGUUUAACCUGUUGUGUAGG